GUGCCACCGGUCACCAGAGGAGCGCCUCCUCCCUCCGAGCACCCUAGCAACCGGGGUUUGGGACGAUUUGGCCGGAAAACGCAGAUCGAAGCAAAAACCUCCUCCGGCUGCAGUUUGAUACUUUUGCCGAUUCCCGGCGAUUCCGGCCACCUCCGGUCCCCAUCUUUCUGUCGAAGUUAUGAAGACGUGAGGAGGAUUUCCUCGAGGAGGGUUUGGAUCGACGGCAGGCUUAGCCGUACUUAAUCACAGUGCUGUGGACCGGCAUAGGAGCGGAGGCUAGUACCACCUUUGUCAUCCAUUCUCAGUAGGUUAUUGAUUAACCUACUUAUUGUAUUAUAUUCCGAGUCUGUUCCUUAGAUUGCUCUGAAUACUUGUUGAGAGUGGAUUUAUACAUUUGUAUAAUUAUGUGUGUAAGAGAGUGGUUUAUUUUGGGAGAUUGUUGAACGAUUGAGUUACGGGGUUGUAUUUGUUUAAGAUGUUUUGGUUGUGAAGUUCGAUGUUUUUAUUUGGAGAAUUUUUGGAUUGUUGCUAGG
This 533-nucleotide long non-coding RNA is filed under the name Rosa chinensis. Its description in RNAcentral is "sRNA RchiOBHm_Chr1g0332381". The record is from RNAcentral. Lineage: Eukaryota; Viridiplantae; Streptophyta; Magnoliopsida; Rosales; Rosaceae.